Molecule: non-coding RNA, 743 nt
Organism: Triticum urartu
Lineage: Eukaryota; Viridiplantae; Streptophyta; Magnoliopsida; Poales; Poaceae
Source: RefSeq, a predicted model, not a curated record
GGGGGGGUGGGCUCUGGCAAACGCGGCCGCGCUCCAGCCCGCGGUGCGGCGGUGCCCGCUCCCCCUCUCCUCUCCGGACGCACAGGUCUCCUCCUUAACCAGGAAGUGGGUCCAUGCGGGGCAGGCUCCGGUGAACGCGGCCGUGCGCGCGCGAGCUCUGGCGAACGCGGCGGCGCCCGCAUCCCUCGCCUCUCCGGUCGCACGUCUCCUCCCUUGCUAUGAAGUGGGCGCACGCGGGGUGGGCUCUCUGCCAACCGUGCCAGGAGCUCUGCUUCUGCAAUGGUGGCAUCUACAUCAAGCUUGGUUAGCACAUCGCACAACUGGUGUAUGUGCAGAUGAUGAGGGCUUCAAUGCUCAAGAGGUGCCCAGUUUCCUCAUACAAAAACGUCUGCGGAGUCUUGAAGAAAGAGAUUGGAUAAUUGCCACAAACUGUUCAACACGACCACUUGGUGGAUACUUCUGUAAUUGAUAUCGCCGCUGUGGAUUUAGUAGUGCUCUUCAUUAUAUUUCCCUGCAUUUGACUACAGGUCAAGGACUUUCCAUGCUCUCAGACAAUGGCAUUCUUUAUCCAACGAUGAUGUGAUUUUAUCCAUCUGAAGAUUGUGUUAUCAUUUGUUUAAAUUCGAGUGAUAUUACACAUGUAGCUUGCUGGGUAUAUUUUACCAUAGUUACUUAUGGAAAAUUCUUAGAGGUUAUACAUGGGACAGCAGACAGCAUGGCAGAUACAUCGCAGCUGGGCACCA